UACGUAGGGUGCAAGCGUUGUCCGGAAUUAUUGGGCGUAAAGAGCUCGUAGGCGGUUUGUCGCGUCUGCUGUGAAAACUCGGGGCUUAACCCCGGGCCUGCAGUGGGUACGGGCAGACUAGAGUGCGGUAGGGGAGACUGGAAUUCCUGGUGUAGCGGUGAAAUGCGCAGAUAUCAGGAGGAACACCGGUGGCGAAGGCAGGUCUCUGGGCCAUUACUGACACUGAGAAGCGAAAGCAUGGGGAGCGAACAGG
Molecule: ribosomal RNA, 253 nt
Filed under: uncultured bacterium
Lineage: Bacteria
Description: partial 16S ribosomal RNA
Rfam family: Bacterial small subunit ribosomal RNA
Source: RNAcentral